Molecule: ribosomal RNA, 419 nt
Filed under: uncultured bacterium
Lineage: Bacteria
Description: bacterial SSU rRNA
Rfam family: Bacterial small subunit ribosomal RNA
Source: RNAcentral
GGAAUAUUGGACAAUGGCCGGAAGGCUGAUCCAGCCAUGCCGCGUGCGGGAGGACGGCCCUAUGGGUUUUAAACCGCUUUUGUUGGGGAGCAAUAAGGUCUACGUGUAGACUGAUGAGAGUACGCAGCGAAUAAGCAUCGGCUAACUCCUUGCCAGCAGCCGCGGUAAUACGGAGGAUGCGAGCGUUAUCCGGAUUUAUUGGGUUUAAAGGGUGCGUAGGCGGACUUUUAAGCGUGAGGUGAAAUGCCCGGGCUCAACCUGGGAACUGCCUCGCGAACUGGGAGUCUGGAAUGUCCGUGCCGUGGGAGGAAUGUGUGGUGUAGCGGUGAAAUGCAUAGAGAUCACACAGAACACCGAUUGCGAAGGCAUCUCACGAACGGAUGAUUGACGCUGAGGCACGAAAGCGUGGGGAUCAAACA